This 310-nucleotide long non-coding RNA is filed under the name Homo sapiens (human). Its description in RNAcentral is "non-protein coding lnc-PLBD1-1:3". Lineage: Eukaryota; Metazoa; Chordata; Mammalia; Primates; Hominidae. The record is from RNAcentral.
AAAACAAAAACAAAGAAAGUGUAAAGUAUGUGCUGGGGUACAAGCAAACUCCAAAGGUGAUCAGACAAGGCAAAGUGAAAUUGAUUAUGCUCACCAACAACUGCCCCACUUUGAGGAAAUCCAAAAUAGGAUACUGUGCCAUGUUGGCCAAAAGUGGUGUUCAUUACUACAGUGGCAAUAAUAUUGAAUUGGACACAAUGUGCAGAAAAUACUGCAGAGUAUGUGCACACUGAUCCAGGUGAUUCUGAUAUCAUUAGAGGCAUGCCAAACAGAUUGGUGAAAAGUAAAUGAUGCAAAAUGUUUCUUUUAC